This 374-nucleotide ribosomal RNA is filed under the name uncultured organism. Its description in RNAcentral is "partial 16S ribosomal RNA". It matches the Rfam family "Bacterial small subunit ribosomal RNA", at positions 527 to 896 of the family's 1533-position model. The record is from RNAcentral.
GUAGGUGGCAAGCGUUGUCCGGAAUUAUUGGGCGUAAAGCGCGCGCAGGCGGGGUUUUUAAGUCUGGUGUGAAAGCCCACGGGCUCAACCGUGGAGGGUCAUUGGAAACUGGAGAACUUGAGUACAGAAGAGGAAAGCGGAAUUCCACGUGUAGCGGUGAAAUGCGUAGAGAUGUGGAGGAACACCAGUGGCGAAGGCGGCUUUCUGGUCUGUAACUGACGCUGAGGCGCGAAAGCGUGGGGAGCAAACAGGAUUAGAUACCCUGGUAGUCCACGCCGUAAACGAUGAGUGCUAAGUGUUAGGGGGUUUCCGCCCCUUAGUGCUGCAGCUAACGCAUUAAGCACUCCGCCUGGGGAGUACGGCCGCAAAGGCUG